RNAcentral lists this long non-coding RNA (4680 nucleotides) under Phocoena sinus (vaquita). RNAcentral describes it as "lncRNA (ENSPSNG00000016938.1)". Lineage: Eukaryota; Metazoa; Chordata; Mammalia; Artiodactyla; Phocoenidae. The record is from RNAcentral.
GCAGCUGUGAUGGGCAGACAACAGCCUGGACAGACCUAUCCUGCCAGCUUGGGAUCAGACUGUUUCUUUCCUCCGUCUACUGGAAUCUGAUCUGGGGCCCCUGGAGAAGCACCAGCAGUCUGGGAGCAUGCCCCACAACAGGUAGUACUAGAGAUGGAUUAGUGUCUUUGGUUUGGGAAAGCCUUAGGCUCCUAGGGCCAGCCUGCCAGGCCAGAGUGUAAUGGGCACCGGAUUACUGAUUCAGUCCUAGUGCAGGGGAGGGGAAAAAAGGAACAUGACUCUUUCCAGUUCCUUCGGCUCUUUUGAAGAGGUUUUGCCUGCCAGUUCCCUGGACCUGGAGCCUUUAGGUUUUCUGGGAAAUUGGGAAAGGAGAGAGGUAAGGACUCCAUUGGUCAUUGACAAAGAUAUAAUAAUAAUAGUGACCAUAACUGAGCACUUACCUUGUGUCAGGCACUUACAUAUAAUAUCUUAUUUCAUUCUCCCUCAAGCCUUUGAGGGAAAAUAUCAUGACAGUUUUACAAAUGAGGAAGCUAAAGUUUAGUGAAGUUGAAUAACUUCCCGAAGUCCACAGCUGGCAAGUAGCAUGUCAGAUUUGAAUCCAAACCUGUCAACACCAAAAUCCAUACCCUGAAUCAUUACAGAACCUAGGCUCCUGAAUAUUCCAGACCCAGACAAGACUCCAGACACCUGCUUUAAAAAUUUUUUGUUUAAUAUCAGUUUACUCUUACUUUAGUCUUAUAACCAAAGCAGAUACAGUAUCUGGUACAAAGAAAUGGUCUUUGCCGCUGACCGCUAGUGAGGCAGUCCCGGUGCUCUUACCAAGCACCGUGAGCUGGACUCAGAGACUGUUACCUGAAGUCUAUUGGAAUGUAAGUCACAUCCGGGAAAAGGCUUUUGACUUGACUGAGGGGUCUCUGGGACUAUGACCCCUCUGCUGAGAAUAGGGUCAGACUAGAACCUAGUUCCUUGGGGAGCAAGGCUUUGAUGGCUUCUAGCAGUCAUGCUGAGGGAGGAGUGUGCUUGAAUGAAAGUAUUUCCUUGAAGGGCAGUUAUGUGUCUCUAUCCUUUCUCCUACCUCCCCCACCCUGUCUCCACAACUGGCUUGUGGUAAUUCAAUCUAGAUUCUUCUCAUAGACUAUUUCACUGUGCAUAUGUGGCCUUUUAUUUACAGCCUUUGACAGUCUGAUUGGAUAACAGCUUACCAGCCUGCAGGACUCAGUCCACUGCCUUGGGGGAGGGGAAGCAGAAAACACUCUGGCUUUGCUUCCUAGAGCCUAGAAGCCAAAAGGAACAGCCAAAGGAAGAGCAAAGGGUUGACCAUGCUGAACAGUCAAGAAGCAUAGGGGCCUUUUUUGUCCCAGCUAACUUGCUUUUGCAAAUAUACACUUGAGAGCUAUCCUCCAAGUAGAGCAGCCCACGUUGGACCCACCCGUGGUACACUGUCUCUGGUCUUCGUGGUUUCCUGCUCCUUGCUGCUCACCUAUACGCAGCAUUAGGAGGCUUUACCUCUAUCCACUGCUGCAUCCUCCAUCCCCUCCAUCUGAAGAAAUCAGUGUCUCAAGGUAGGAACUAAAUCUUGCCUAAUUCCCUAUAGUCCUCCUCUCUAUCCCUAACCUACAUCCUCAAAAGAGGUAGGAUUUACAGCAAAUUCUCAAUCUUUAGAGACUUCUAAUUGUAGCAGUUAGAAGCAAGGCACUUGGAAGUAUAGGGAUGUGUGUGUGUGUGUGUGUGUGUGUGUGUAUCUGUGUAUUUAUGUUGAAAGGGAGGAGGGUGAGAGGGAGGACAUUUAUUAGCACCCUUCAUAGGAACCUUCCCUUGGGCCCAAGGUUUUAAUUUGGCUUAGUUUGUAAUUAGAGCUGAAAGGGACCUUAAGAAGUCAUCUGAUUUAGCCUUUUGCCUCCACAAACAGGUGCUAUGAGUUGAAUUAAGGAGGAAAUCAAAUGAUUGAUCUAAUGGAGGAAGGCAUACACUUGCUGGCUGGAUUGGUGGAAGAGAAUAUUUAUCUAGGUGUAAUCCCUUUUGAGCAGAAGGAGAACCUGGAACAAAGCUGAGUUUAUUAUUAUUUUAUUUUUAUGGAAUAAAGGAAAGCAACCCUUUACAGCUCAGUGAGGUCAAUGGCUUCUAGCUUAUUCUUUUCCUGGGUAUAAUUCCUAGUGCUGCAGUCUCCUCUCAGCUGAGCCUGAGAGGUAAAAGGCUUGGAGCUUGUUUGGGGUUCUACCCCUAGAUGUUCUGUCUGUGAUUUUGGUUACAUUAAAGGUGCCUGCAUAUUUCCAGUUCAUAAGGGAGGUGAUAGACUUGGGGAAAAGACGAUAAAUCCACACCAGGUGGUCCUAGGAAAGAGCCCAUUCUACUUCAGAACCAAACCUCUUCUAGAGUGUGUUUGACUUUUGGGAGUGGACUUUUAGCUGAACCUUUCUGUAACAUAUUUUUUUUUUGUUUUUAAUUUUUUGCCGCAUUGGGUCCUCGCUGCUGUGCGCGGGCUUUCUCUAGUUGCGGCGAGUGGGGACUACUCUUCAUUGCGGUGCGCGGGCUUCUCAUUGCCAUGACUUCUCUUGUUGUGGAGCACGGGUUCUAGGCUCAUGGGGCUCAGUAGUUGUGGCACGUGGGCUCAGUAGUUGUGGCUCACGGGCUCUAGAGCGCAGGCUCAGUAGUUGUGGCGUGCGGGCUUAGUUGCUCCGCGGCAUGUGGGAUCUUCCCAGACCAGUGCUCGAACCCGUGUCCCCUGCAUUGGCAGGUGGAUUCUUAACCACUAUGCCACCAGGGAAGUCCCUCUGUAACGUAUUUGAGAACCCAAAAGCAAAGCAAGCUCUGUGCUUUGAAAGAAGACUCUGCAUUAGGGAGGCCUGAUAAGGAAGCAGGCUAGGCCUCUUCUAACACACUCCUAGCAUGCUGGCUGGCCUCACUUGGAGUCCAAAAUAACAUAAUACCAGUUCGGAACAGUGGCCUCCUCAGCUAGGAGCAGCUACACACAAUCUGGAGGAAAGAUAGAUGCGCUCCUGGGCAUUGGCUGCUAUUCCAUUUGUGAAUCAGACUCCUGAUGCCAUAGCCAGGUGCUCUCAGGCAUCUAACAGCCUGUUUAUUCUCUCCUUGCAACUCAGCCCAGACACCACCGGAAUCAUUAUUAGCACCAAUUCUUAAAUCUCCAAAUUCUUUCAGCACUUCUCACACGUUUCAGAAGUAUUUGUUUUAUAGGUAAUUCAGAGUCUCCAUCAAAUCUCAUGGCCUAUAAAGACAUAGAACCUUAGCAGGCAUGAAGGGUAAUUAUUCAAACUGAUUUUUCUGAAUUCACAUAGAAAGUUACUUUCUGUACUCAGAAGUAAGUAAGUCUGCUGUUAGUGCAGUUAAUUGACAUCAUUUUCCAAACAUAUUUGAUUUGAGAGCCAUGAAAAAAGAAAGAUGAUUUCUCUCCGUUAAUAAUUUGUUUCACUCCCCAUUUCCUCGACCCCAACCAACCAUGUUCAGUCUUGCCUUUGUCUUUCCCCAGAGGUUUUCAGAAUUUCUUCCUCUGAGCCCUAGGGUCCCCUGGAAGUGCCUUUGGGGGCCCUGCAGUGGAGAGAGGGAGUUGGAGUGUAUGGGGCCUUAGGCCUUCCCUGCUUCAACCAGAAUAGCUCUGUUUUAUGUGUUGGGGCUAAAAAGUUUGAAACCGCUGCUCUAACCCUUGUCUUACAUCCUAAAACAUCUUUCUUGCUGCCCUAGCCCUCCCCAGAGACAUGUUGGCAAUGAUUUUAACAAAAUUAUGAGCCUCGCAAGUUGAGCUUUCUUACCCCUAAACAUCCAGCACAGUGCUUUAUACACAGUAGAAGUGUGUGCAGUGAAUACUUGUGGCUUGAUUGCUUGUUUGAUUGAUUGACUCCUGAGAUGAUAUUAAUUAAUGGCCUUGGGAUGCUUCUACACCAGAAAAGAGAGUAUAUAGUAAAUCAUAGUUUAUUUGUUAUGAUUUGGGCACUUCUGACCUUUCCUACUGCAAUCAGUCAUGCAGUCUGAGGUCAAAACAUGGCCUAAAGGAGUUACUUAAUACUUAACAUAGGUUAUUGCUGGUGUAGAGGAUACCUGACUAGGUCAACACAAGCAAAAGUACUUCCAAAGAAGUGUGUCCUGAGGUAAAAGGUAAGCAGAGUGAUUAUUGGGAAACACUAGGGACAGAAAUAUACUAAGAUAACAUAGCCUUAUCUACUUUUCAAUAUUACUUGCUUUCGCUAAAAAUUACCUGCGUGAUAGUUUCCAAAACUACUCAGUGUCUUGAUUAUGGAAAGUACAAAUCUUUUUCUUCGCUAAGCUGCCUUAAAACACCGUCCAGGCUGUUUAUCUGUAGCCUCCAGUAUACAUCUACAUAUCUUUUGAAGGGGGGGGUGGGUGGCUUUAUUUUGUUUUUAAUCAAUUUAUGUUUUAUAAAAGUGAUAUAUAUGUUUAGUUUUAAAAAAGCCAAAUAAUAGAAAAAGGACAUUAGUGGGAAAACUGGCAAAAUCCAUAUAGUCUGCAAGUUUAGGUAAUAGUAAUAUAUUCAAUGAUGAUUUCCUUGUUUUAACAAAUGCACCAUGAUUAUGUAAGAUGGUAACAUUAGGGGUACUGGUUGAAGGACAUACGGGAACACUCUUAACUAUCUUUGCAACUUUUCCAAAAAUUAUUCCAAAAUAAAUAAUUUUUAAAAAUUUGUACACAAUAAUGAAGAUCUUCACAAUG